AAAUUGAAGAGUUUGAUCAUGGCUCAGAUUGAACGCUGGCGGCAGGCCUAACACAUGCAAGUCGAACGGUAACAGGAAGCAGCUUGCUGCUUUGCUGACGAGUGGCGGACGGGUGAGUAAUGUCUGGGAAACUGCCUGAUGGAGGGGGAUAACUACUGGAAACGGUGGCUAAUACCGCAUAACGUCGCAAGACCAAAGAGGGGGACCUUCGGGCCUCUUGCCAUCAGAUGUGCCCAGAUGGGAUUAGCUUGUUGGUGAGGUAACGGCUCACCAAGGCGACGAUCCCUAGCUGGUCUGAGAGGAUGACCAGCCACACUGGAACUGAGACACGGUCCAGACUCCUACGGGAGGCAGCAGUGGGGAAUAUUGCACAAUGGGCGCAAGCCUGAUGCAGCCAUGCCGCGUGUAUGAAGAAGGCCUUCGGGUUGUAAAGUACUUUCAGCGGGGAGGAAGGUGUUGUGGUUAAUAACCACAGCAAUUGACGUUACCCGCAGAA
RNAcentral lists this ribosomal RNA (496 nucleotides) under Salmonella enterica. Its description in RNAcentral is "partial 16S ribosomal RNA". It matches the Rfam family "Bacterial small subunit ribosomal RNA", at positions 1 to 486 of the family's 1533-position model. The record is from RNAcentral. RNAcentral also lists the same sequence under 1 other name. Lineage: Bacteria; Pseudomonadati; Pseudomonadota; Gammaproteobacteria; Enterobacterales; Enterobacteriaceae.